Molecule: non-coding RNA, 27 nt
Filed under: Homo sapiens (human)
Lineage: Eukaryota; Metazoa; Chordata; Mammalia; Primates; Hominidae
Source: RNAcentral
CUUAAGGAAAAUGACCCGAGGGUGAGA